Molecule: non-coding RNA, 647 nt
Organism: Saimiri boliviensis boliviensis (Bolivian squirrel monkey)
Lineage: Eukaryota; Metazoa; Chordata; Mammalia; Primates; Cebidae
Source: RefSeq, a predicted model, not a curated record
UUCAGAUACAGUAAACCCAUAUAUUGAAGCUUUCUAGUAUAAUAAAAAAUUCAACUAUUCUGUUAAAUCAUCUGUCCUUAUUGGAGGCUACAGAAUAGAUGUCAUCUUAGGACUGCUUGCUCUGAGUAAGGCUUGUCUUCAAAUCUGAAUGACCACAAGGAGAUUAUAAAUGUGAACACCUCAGAAGGCACAGCCCACCCAGAAGGCAGACAGGUCAGGCUAUUUUUUCUUCAUUGGUUGGAUUCAAUCUUCUGGCAGCUCAGACAUAACUUAAGCAUGAUUAAACUUUAGAAGAAGCUGCCAGGAAGACUGUGAAAUCUUCAUGCCCAAAGAUCCCUAAAAUUAGGAGCGACAACCACUUGGCUCAGAUGGUUUAUGGAGGCAAAGGUUUGGAUGGGAUUAGAGAUUUCUAAAUGUGAGUUCGUGUCCUCUGGCAGACCACCUUACUUCCACCAUUCCUCAGCAAAUCGAGAAAAACGAGAGUAAAGACCUGUCUUUCUAUAAGUUAAAUCCAUUGUUUUAAUUCUAUAUUAUAUCUGCAGUACAACUUCUUUUGUUUGUAACACCAUAUUGUUGCUAGUAGCUGGAAAUUAAUUUUCACAUGCCUCAGCUUAGAAAAAUAAAAAGCAGUUCUGCAUCAAUCCCAA